Molecule: non-coding RNA, 271 nt
Filed under: Pseudoalteromonas denitrificans DSM 6059
Lineage: Bacteria; Pseudomonadati; Pseudomonadota; Gammaproteobacteria; Alteromonadales; Pseudoalteromonadaceae
Source: RNAcentral
CAAGUCCCUGUCGGGUAAGGUUUAGCCAACCACCCGUAUCGCGUGUUGCGCCUAUGGCGGAGCUUGUUUUUCAAGCGAACAAGAUAGGUGAAGCGUACACAGAGAAUUAUAUAGGCCAUAGGGGAUACGUGUCCCUUAAGUGCUGGUAUCGCUCCGACAAGUACAGUCUGACUGACGAGGUUUGUAACGCCAUCGAAGUCCAAGCAAAGCAACCGUUAUUCAACGCACAUGAAAGGGCAAGGUUGUGGCGAGUCAGCGGAGUUAUUAAGCC